CAAGAGCCAGGGCUCUCCUUUAUAUAGAGUGGGAACUGCAUAGGGGAAGGACUUAAAGCAAUCUUUGGAGUUUCCCAGUUCCACCUGCCUUCUGCAGAAGGAAACCAUCCAAACAAGACACAAGACCUGCGUGAUGCCUAAUAGGAUACGUGGCAUACGAUGAGAGGAACAACACUGCCCUGCACUUGGGGGAAUUCUUAGAGAAGAGAAACGUUUUGCAGGGAAGGAAUUC
This 232-nucleotide long non-coding RNA is filed under the name Phasianus colchicus (ring-necked pheasant). RNAcentral describes it as "lncRNA (ENSPCLG00000011241.1)". The record is from RNAcentral. Lineage: Eukaryota; Metazoa; Chordata; Aves; Galliformes; Phasianidae.